RNAcentral lists this transfer RNA (77 nucleotides) under Catellatospora sp. TT07R-123. RNAcentral's name for it is "tRNA-Ser". The record is from RNAcentral. Lineage: Bacteria; Bacillati; Actinomycetota; Actinomycetes; Micromonosporales; Micromonosporaceae.
CGGGGCCGUAGCGCAGAACUCGUCGCGUCGCAUUGCUCAUGCGAAGGACGCCGGUGGAAAUCCGGCCGGUCCCGCCC